RNAcentral lists this non-coding RNA (22 nucleotides) under Arabidopsis thaliana (thale cress). Lineage: Eukaryota; Viridiplantae; Streptophyta; Magnoliopsida; Brassicales; Brassicaceae. The record is from RNAcentral.
CCUCGUGAAAGCACUCGACCCC